Molecule: ribosomal RNA, 1366 nt
Filed under: human gut metagenome
Description: bacterial LSU rRNA
Rfam family: Bacterial large subunit ribosomal RNA
Source: RNAcentral
UUGGAAGCAGCCAUUCAUUUAAAGAGUGCGUAACAGCUCACUAGUCGAGGAGUUUUGCAUGGAUAAUAAUCGGGCAUAAGCCCUUUACCGAAGCUGUGGAUGUCGCAAGACGUGGUAGGGGAGCAUUCCGUCGGCGGCGAAGGUCAGCCUCGAGGCUGGCUGGAGCUUACGGAAAAGCAAAUGUAGGUAUAAGUAACGAUAAAGGGGGCGAGAAACCCCCUCGCCAUAAGACUAAGGAUUCCUGAUCAACGCUAAUCGGAUCAGGGUAAGUCGGGACCUAAGGCGCAGCCGAACGGCGCAGCCGAUGGAAGAAACGGUCAAGAUUCCGUUACUGGUAUAAGGAGCGACGUGGAGACGGAGAAGUGACACACCCGCCUGCUGACGGAAUAGCAGGUUAAAGGAGGUAGGUAUACAUGACCCAGGCAAAUCCGGGUCUUGUGCCGAAACUGACAGUAUCGAGAGCCCCCGGGCAAUCGAAUAGCGGUGGUAAGCAGGCUCCCGAGAAAAUCCGCUAAGCAUAUUCUUAUAUCACCCGUACUCCAAACGGACACACGUAGUCGGGUAGAAUAUACCAAGGCGCUCGAAAGAUUCACGGUUAAGGAACUAGGCAAAUUGACCCUGUAACUUCGGGAAAAAGGGUCCCCAGUAAGAUGGGGCGCAGAGAAUAGGUCCAGGCAACUGUUUAACAAAAACACAGGGCUGUGCAAAAUUUAAAGAUGAAGUAUACAGCCUGACACCUGCCCGGUGCCGGAAGGUUAAGAGGAGACGUCAUCGCAAGAGAAGCGUUGAAUUGAAGCCCCGGUAAACGGCGGCCGUAACUAUAACGGUCCUAAGGUAGCGAAAUUCCUUGUCGGGUAAGUUCCGACCUGCACGAAUGGUGUAAUGAUCCGGACACUGUCUCAACCGUGAGUUCGGUGAAAUUGUAGUAUCGGUGAAGAUGCCGAUUACCCGCAACGGGACGAAAAGACCCCGUGAACCUUUACUGCAACUUAACAUUGCGUUUGGGCAUUCGAUGUGUAGGAUAGUCCGGAGGCUGAGAAGCGGCGACGCCAGUCGUCGUGGAGCCGCUGUUGAAAUACGGACCUUUGAAUGUUUGAACGCUAACUCGCAGGAGCGAGGACACUGUUUGGUGGGUAGUUUGACUGGGGUGGUCGCCUCCAAAAGCGUAACGGAGGCUUCUAAAGGUACCCUCAGGCCGAUUGGUAACCGGCCGCAGAGUGUAAUGGCACAAGGGUGCUUGACUGAGAGACAGACAAGUCGACCAGGUAGGAAACUAGAGCAUAGUGAUCCGGUGGUUCCGCAUGGAAGGGCCAUCGCUCAAAGGAUAAAAGGUACUCCGGGGAUAACAGGCUGAUCCCUCCCAAGA